RNAcentral lists this ribosomal RNA (265 nucleotides) under uncultured archaeon. RNAcentral describes it as "partial 16S ribosomal RNA". It matches the Rfam family "Archaeal small subunit ribosomal RNA", at positions 718 to 982 of the family's 1478-position model. The record is from RNAcentral.
AGUCACUGACAUUAGAUACCCCUGUAGUCCAGGGUGUAAACGCUGCAGACUUGGUGCUGGAGGCCCUUUGGGGGCAUUCAGUGCCGGAGAGAAGUUGUUAAGUCUGCUACUUGGGGAGUACGUCCGCAAGGAUGAAACUUAAAGGAAUUGGCGGGGGAGCACCGCAACGGGAGGAGCGUGCGGUUUAAUUGGAUUCAACACCGUAAAACUCACCAGGGAAGACUGUUACAUGAAGGCCGAGAUGAAGACUCUGCUAGAUUUUCAG